This 437-nucleotide ribosomal RNA is filed under the name uncultured bacterium. Its description in RNAcentral is "bacterial SSU rRNA". It matches the Rfam family "Bacterial small subunit ribosomal RNA", at positions 29 to 512 of the family's 1533-position model. The record is from RNAcentral.
AGCGAACGCUGGCGGCAGGCCUAACACAUGCAAGUCGAGCGCCCAGCAAUGGGAGCGGCAGACGGGAUAGUAACACGUGGGAACGUACCCUUCAGUUCGGAACAACCCAGGGAAACUUGGGCUAAUACCGAAUACGUCCGUAAGGAGAAAGAUUUAUCGCUGAAGGAUCGGCCCGCGUCUGAUUAGCUAGUUGGUGAGGUAACGGCUCACCAAGGCGACGAUCAGUAGCUGGUCNGAGAGGAUGAUCAGCAUCACUGGGACUGAGACACGGCCCAGACUCCUACGGGAGGCAGCAGUGGGGAAUAUUGGACAAUGGGCGCAAGCCUGAUCCAGCCAUGCCGCGUGGAUGAUGAAGGCCCUAGGGUUGUAAAGUCCUUUCGACGGGGAAGAUAAUGACGGUACCCGUAGAAGAACGCCCCGGCUAACUUCGUGCCAGC